RNAcentral lists this ribosomal RNA (311 nucleotides) under uncultured eukaryote. RNAcentral's name for it is "partial 18S ribosomal RNA". It matches the Rfam family "Eukaryotic small subunit ribosomal RNA", at positions 1470 to 1796 of the family's 1831-position model. The record is from RNAcentral.
CCCUUAGAUGUUCUGGGCCGCACGCGCGCUACACUGAUGCAUUCAACGAGUCUAAAACCUGCUCUGAUAGGGGUGGGUAAUCUUUUGAAUGUGCAUCGUGAUUGGGAUAGAUGAUUGCAAUUUUUCAUCUUCAACGAGGAAUGCCUAGUAAACGCAAGUCAUCAGCUUGCAUUGAUUACGUCCCUGCCCUUUGUACACACCGCCCGUCGAUACUACCGAUUGAAUGGCUUAGUGAGGCCGUUGGAGAAUGCUCGCUAGAGCGUUUGAAAUUGGCCAAACUUGGUGAUUUAGAGGAAGUAAAAGUCGUAACA